UUCAAAGAUAAUUCAUGCAAAGUUUGUGUAAUGUGAUAUACAAGAUUGUCUUUUUUCGAAACGCGGUCCCUUAGGGCCCGAUUCAUUAAAAAGGUCAAAGAUAAUUGCCUGGUUAAUUAACGGAAACCUGGCCUAAAACCGUUUACAACAUGCCCACAACAAAGACACACGAUCGACCUAGGCACCCAUAAGACUCACACACAUCAUUGAGGAAAGGACACUGUCUCGGUUGUCUGCAAUGUCAUUGUCAUCACCUCUUCGCGAGCAAGCGACUCUGACUUCGUUGUUGACGACCCAUCAAGACCUCUUUGGAUGGGAACCUUGCCGGCUGGGGCCAAGCAAUUGACCGCACGCGUCGAGGAUGAGGCAACUCCUACUUUGAUGACGAGCCUCGCAGAAGAAAAGGAGCACGCCUUGCACCGACGGAGCCCGAACUACCAUCGCUUGUCAUCGUUGUCGCAGUGUCGCCCGGCAACGCCGCAGCUCCGACUUCAAGCUUAGGAACAUGUCAGGCCGUCGACGACGAAAGCAAGCCACGACCCUGCUCAUCUUGCAACCAUCAUCGUUGCCACACAAGUCGCAACACCACACCUGCACCGCCGGCCGGGCACCUUCCGACCAUGAUGUCGUGCGCGUCUAGCCUCAAGAAAGAGCAAAGGUGAUCACGGUCUUCAAGGCUACACCCUCAAGAGGGAAAAUGGCGUUGGAGACGACGUCGCUGCCGAUCCUGCAACAGGAUCUAGUCUUUCACCCGAAGAACUCGAUCUGGGAGAACAUGAUGCGCGGAUCUCCUUGGCAGCGCCUCCAAGAAGGAUGAUGACGCCCACACGCACCGCCGCCACCGACCGGAACUGGCCAGACUUUCGCUCGGAGCAACACAACCUUAGUUCAAUGCAGGUGGCAACACCAACCAGCACCACCAUCACCCGAACCUCCACUAAGCCACGCACCCCUGCAGAGCGACCGCACCGUCACUAAACAUGACCACCACCACACCUCACUGCCGUCAAAGCGGUCCAGCAGCACCGGCGGCGAUCCAGAUCUGGCCACAAGCUAGACCCAGC
Molecule: long non-coding RNA, 1064 nt
Filed under: Hordeum vulgare
Lineage: Eukaryota; Viridiplantae; Streptophyta; Magnoliopsida; Poales; Poaceae
Description: long non-coding RNA (HVUL_LNC021501)
Source: RNAcentral